UUGAAUCUGAUUUUUGCUCUCUAAGUUGAAGUUUAUGCUUCAUACCUGAGAGUAAAUCGGAUCAAGAGCUUGCGGGGACCUUCUGUAAGUAUUCUUUCGUUCUUUUCAUUCAUUUAUAUCGUUAAAGUCAAACUGUGUUUGACUUUAUACUUUGACCAGUUUAUGGUCAAUGCGAAGUUUGUUUGAACUUCAUAACGUGAGCGUAAUCACGAUGGUUAUAGUCCCUAGUAACUAUACCUACUGAUUACCACGUUAUCUAGGCUCAGUGGCGAGUCGUAGUUUCGGCCAAAAUGCGUUUUCUCCCGUAUUUUGUAACCAAACUACUCUAGGAUGUCAAAACCGUUUGUUUUGAUAUCAAAACCUGUUUUCUAACUUAACUAAACAUGUUUCGACAUGUUUAGCUCGUCACUUGUUAGUUUAGUGCUUGUGUAGAGUCGUAAGUCAAGCGGACUAAACACCCGCUUAGACUUUCGAACACGACCCGUUUGGUCGAUCAUUAGGAUCCGACCAAACAUGUUUAGUGACCAUAGUAGCGUAGGGAAUAACCUUCCGAGGUUAUACCUUAUGGUCACUUAGGUUUGAUUAGUCGCAUGAUAAGUAGUUUAUGUGCCUUUGGUAAAUUACCAAAAUACCCUUUUCAUACAUAAUUGGUAAUUAAGCAUAUGUAACCUAAAAUUUUGUCACGUAACUGAUUAUGUAACAUAAUUAAACAUGUAUGGGCAUAUAAUACUUGUCAUAGGACCAGUUAGACGUCUCGAACGCGCUUUUGCGUGCACGACGCGUUAAAGUAGCGUAAGCUACCUUAAUAGGUCACGAUGGGUCGAAAGCACUUAGGUUAGGUUCCGAUUUAGGAUGUAGGCUUUGUUAAACCAUAUCACAUGAGUUCCAACACUCAUUUGGAGCUACUUGAUUUCUCUGGUUUGCUCGAGUUUGUUGAAGUUCUAUUUGAUCGAGGAUACUUUGCACUACAUGUGACUACAUAGUUCCCCUAUUUUACUGUUUUUAAAUGUUUUGGGGUGAUUCAUAUGUACGAAAUGUUUUCAAGGUUUAAACGAUGAUUUCAAAAACGAUUAAAAUGAUUUUUACUAAACUAAGAACGAUUUCGAUAAAGUGAACGAACUUGUUGGUUGUAGAUACAUAACGAAUGACAUUCAUUAGCAUUGAUCAAGCCGACCAGUAUUAGGUUAUGGUACCAUAGGAUCUGACAAAUCCCGUUACUUUACUACACCCAUGGUUAUGUGUGGGGGUUGUGGGUAGCGACUGAAUCUGAUGUUUGUUAACUUACCCUUUGGUGGUUUGUUAAUACGAGAACGAGUUGAACGAUGGACGAGUCACAAAGGUUUGAAUGUUGUUAACGAGACGACCAUAUAUAAGUUUUCACAAUUAAAACGAUGACGAUUGGAAACGAUUUGGAAACAAGUAAACGAUUGGGAACGAUUGGAAACGAUUUGGGAACGAGUAAACGAUUUGGAAACGAUUUGGAAACGAUGUUAAACGAUUUCGAUAAACGAUUGGUUUUUGGUUAAGUGUUUAGAUAACAAGACGGGGGUAAUGUGGUGAAAACAUGGUAGAUAUGCCAUUGGUACUUCUUAUAUAUAAGUGUUUUCAUCAUAUUACAUAUCGCGGCGUUAUUUAGUUCACUUGGGUAAACGAUUUUGAAACGAUUUCACAUAACGAUGUUUUUCUAAGAGAUAUAAACUAUACGAGUUUUUAACGAGUUUUUACAAGAUGUUUUACAAGUUGGGUUUCUAAAGCAAAUGUUUUUGGCUUAAGAAUCAUGGCUACGAGGUUUUAUAAACUAUAACCCGCUUGAUUUGAGUUGGUUAAUUAAGUUGCAAUAUUAUACUCUUUUCAAAACAAAGUUUUUAAUAAAGUAUUGCAACACUUAAACUAGCCAUGAAUUCGACACUCCUAUAAAACCUAUGUACUCGCCAGCAUUUCUUUGCUGACUAAGUUUUUACAUAUGUUUCAGGUGUUGAUGCUUGAAUGACUACUAGGAUGCAUGCGUCACAUAGGAUCUGGACGAGGCCUUAGUGACAUAAUAAUAGUGAUAGACGAUGUAAAACUUGUUUAUUCUAUGUUAAGACAAUGCAAUGUUUAAUAUUAUCAAUAAAACGAAACACUUU
This 2126-nucleotide long non-coding RNA is filed under the name Helianthus annuus (common sunflower). Its description in RNAcentral is "hypothetical non coding rna". The record is from RNAcentral. Lineage: Eukaryota; Viridiplantae; Streptophyta; Magnoliopsida; Asterales; Asteraceae.